GUGCUCGCUUCGGCAGCACAUAUACUAAAUUGGAACGAUACAGGGGAGAACGAUUUGCAUGGGCCCUGCGUAAGGAUGUCACGCAAAUUCAUGACGCGUUCCACAUUAAA
Small nuclear RNA from Myotis lucifugus (little brown bat), 110 nucleotides. NCBI's taxonomy places the organism in Eukaryota, Metazoa, Chordata, Mammalia, Chiroptera, Vespertilionidae. The record is from Ensembl.